GGGCCUUGCUCAGUUGGUAGAUCAGGGGGGGCUCUUAAUCCCUUGGUCCGGGAUUCGAUUUCCCGAAGACCCA
RNAcentral lists this transfer RNA (73 nucleotides) under Gammaproteobacteria bacterium. RNAcentral's name for it is "tRNA-Lys". It matches the Rfam family "tRNA". From Rfam's summary of the family: Transfer RNA (tRNA) molecules are approximately 80 nucleotides in length. Their secondary structure includes four short double-helical elements and three loops (D, anti-codon, and T loops). The record is from RNAcentral. Lineage: Bacteria; Pseudomonadati; Pseudomonadota; Gammaproteobacteria.